GUAUGACUAAUUUGACUCAGUAUGAUAAGCAACAACCCGAAUGACAGGUAACUAGGAGGGGUAAAUUCCAAACACAGUCUGAAUUAGAAGUGCAACUCAUUUUCCAUAACCCAGACGCUUUUUUAAGCCAUUAAUGCAUUCUCCAUCAGAAACCUGGUGCUGUUCCCAAAGGAGAAAACACUGCCCUCCAGUGGUCUUCACUGGAGAAAUGGAAAUAGUUUCAGGUGGAAACCAGGCUUCUUGGAAGACUUCAAACUAUGCCAAAUGGUCUGAUUUUACCAUAGAGAGUCUUUGCUGAGGAAUGCAGCUGUAUUACAGGAAAAAAGAAAACUAAGCUACAGUCCUUAGCAUUUAACAAGCAUUUUAAAGAUAGUGCAAUUAUGUAGUUAAGCUGCUUAAACACAAGUUCUUGCCUUCCACUCCCACCCUGUGGCUUCCACUGGUAUUACACUUAUUAUGACAUUUAAAAAUCAACAUUAAAGAACAAAUAAUAAU
Molecule: long non-coding RNA, 495 nt
Organism: Vicugna pacos (alpaca)
Lineage: Eukaryota; Metazoa; Chordata; Mammalia; Artiodactyla; Camelidae
Source: RefSeq, a predicted model, not a curated record